Cyprinodon tularosa is the source of this 212-nucleotide long non-coding RNA. RefSeq lists it as uncharacterized. Lineage: Eukaryota; Metazoa; Chordata; Actinopteri; Cyprinodontiformes; Cyprinodontidae. The record is from RefSeq and is a predicted model, not a curated record. The transcript has 3 exons.
UAUAUAUAUAUGUAAAGUCUUUAAACUGUUUUCUAACAGGUAAAUCAAAUCUGAACCACGUGGCAUCUUUUGUUAAAGAAGAAGAUGAUGUCAGAACUGUGCAGGAACGCCAUGGCGAAACGUUUAAUCGACAAGGCUUCUACAGGCAGCAGUAUCCGCCACCAGGCCAGGUUCCUGCUGAGGAGCCCCAGCGACACCGAGAAACCUCUAGG